Molecule: ribosomal RNA, 253 nt
Filed under: uncultured bacterium
Lineage: Bacteria
Description: partial 16S ribosomal RNA
Rfam family: Bacterial small subunit ribosomal RNA
Source: RNAcentral
AACGUAGGGCGCAAGCGUUGUCCGGAUUUAUUGGGCGUAAAGAGCUCGUAGGCGGCUUGUUGCGUCGUCCGUGAAAACCCGCAGCUCAACUGCGGGCUUGCGGACGAUACGGGCAGGCUGGAGUUCGGUAGGGGAGACUGGAAUUCCUGGUGUAGCGGUGAAAUGCGCAGAUAUCAGGAGGAACACCGGUGGCGAAGGCGGGUCUCUGGGCCGAAACUGACGCUGAGGAGCGAAAGCGUGGGGAGCAAACAGG